This 274-nucleotide ribosomal RNA is filed under the name uncultured bacterium. RNAcentral describes it as "partial 16S ribosomal RNA". It matches the Rfam family "Bacterial small subunit ribosomal RNA", at positions 523 to 796 of the family's 1533-position model. The record is from RNAcentral.
AUACGGAGGGGGUUAGCGUUGUUCGGAAUUACUGGGCGUAAAGCGCACGUAGGCGGACUGGAAAGUUGGGGGUGAAAUCCCGGGGCUCAACCCCGGAACUGCCUCCAAAACUUCCAAUCUAGAGAUCGAGAGAGGUGAGUGGAAUUCCAAGUGUAGAGGUGAAAUUCGUAGAUAUUUGGAGGAACACCAGUGGCGAAGGCGGCUCACUGGCUCGAUACUGACGCUGAGGCGCGAAAGCGUGGGGAGCAAACAGGAUUAGAUACCCCAGUAGUCC